CGGCGCGCUUAACACAUGCAAGUCGAACGAGAAAGGGCUUCGGCCCCGGUACAGUGGCGCACGGGUGAGUAACACGUGGGUAACCUUCCCUCGAGCGGGGGAUAACGUCCGAAAGGAACGCUAAUACCGCAUAAGACCACGGGCUCGAAAGAGCCUGGGGGUAAAAAGUAGGCCUCUGAAUUCACGCUUACACUCGAGGAUGGGGCCCGCGGCCCAUCAUGGUAGUUGGUAGGGUAACGGCCUACCAAGCCGAAGACGGGUAGCUGGUCUUAGAGGAUGAUCAGCCACACUGGAACUGAGACACGGUCCAGACUCCUACGGGAGGCAGCAGUGGGGAAUCUUGCGCAAUGGGCGAAAGCCUGACGCAGCGACGCCGCGUGGGUGAUGAAGGCCUUCGGGUUGUAAAGCUCUGUGGGGAGAGACGAAUAAGACGUGGCUAAUAUCCACGGCGAUGACGGUAUCUCCUUAGCAAGCACCGGCUAACUCUGUGCCAGCAGCCGCGGUAAGACAGAGGGUGCAAACGUUGUUCGGAAUUACUGGG
This 541-nucleotide ribosomal RNA is filed under the name uncultured bacterium. RNAcentral describes it as "bacterial SSU rRNA". It matches the Rfam family "Bacterial small subunit ribosomal RNA", at positions 40 to 558 of the family's 1533-position model. The record is from RNAcentral.